Molecule: ribosomal RNA, 461 nt
Filed under: uncultured Bacteroidota bacterium
Lineage: Bacteria; Pseudomonadati; Bacteroidota
Description: bacterial SSU rRNA
Rfam family: Bacterial small subunit ribosomal RNA
Source: RNAcentral
GAUUAACGCUAGCGGCAGGCAUAAUACAUGCAAGUUGAACGAGAUUAGUUUUAGCAAUAGAACUUUUUUAGUGGCGCACGGGUGCGUAACGCGUAUGCAACCUACCUUAAACAGGGGAAUAGCCUCUCGAAAGAGAGAUUAAUACCGCAUAAUAUAUAUUUAGAGCAUUCUAGAUAUAUUAAACCUACGGGGGUUUAAGAUGGGCAUGCGUGACAUUAGCUAGUUGGUGAGGUAACGGCUCACCAAGGCAACGAUGUCUAGGGGGUCUGAGAGGAUGUCCCCCCACACUGGUACUGAGACACGGACCAGACUCCUACGGGAGGCAGCAGUAGGGAAUAUUGGUCAAUGGAGGCAACUCUGAACCAGCCAUGCCGCGUGCAGGACUAAGGCCCUAUGGGUCGUAAACUGCUUUUGAACGGGAAGAAAUGUAUCUACGUGUAGAUAUUUGACGGUACCGUUAG